CUACGGGUCGCAGCAGUGGGGAAUAUUGGACAAUGGGCGCAAGCCUGAUCCAGCAAUACCGCGUGUGUGAAGAAGGCCCGAGGGUUGUAAAGCACUUUCAGUAGGGAGGAUUGAUUUUACGGAUAAUACCCGUGAAGUUUGACGUUACCUACAGAAGAAGCACCGGCUAACUCAGUGCCAGCAGCCGCGGUAAUACUGAGGGUGCAAGCGUUAAUCGGAAUUACUGGGCGUAAAGCGCGCGUAGGUGGUUAGCUCAGUUGGGUGUGACAGCCCCGGGCUCAACCUGGGAACUGCAUUCAAUACUGUCUAGCUAGAGUACGGUAGAGGGAAGUGGAAUUCCGCAUGUAGCGGUGAAAUGCGUAGAGAUGCGGAGGAACACCAGUGGCGAAGGCGACUUCCUGGACCGAUACUGACACUGAGGUGCGACAGCGUGGGGAGCAAACAGGAUUAGAUACCCGGGUAGUC
RNAcentral lists this ribosomal RNA (465 nucleotides) under uncultured bacterium. RNAcentral's name for it is "partial 16S ribosomal RNA". It matches the Rfam family "Bacterial small subunit ribosomal RNA", at positions 339 to 795 of the family's 1533-position model. The record is from RNAcentral.